UACGUAGGCAGCAAGCGUUGUUCGGAAUUACUGGGCGUAAAGAGUGUGUAGGCGGUGCUCUAAGUCUGUUGUGAAAUCUCCCGGCUUAACUGGGAGGGUGCGGCGGAAACUGGAGUGCUUGAGGGUGGGAGAGGUAAGCGGAAUUCCUGGUGUAGCGGUGAAAUGCGUAGAUAUCUGCAGGAACACCCGUGGC
Molecule: ribosomal RNA, 193 nt
Filed under: uncultured prokaryote
Description: partial 16S ribosomal RNA
Rfam family: Bacterial small subunit ribosomal RNA
Source: RNAcentral